GGGCGCGUAGCUCAAUCGGAUAGAGCACCGGCCUUCUAAGCCGGGGGUUGCUGGUUCAAGUCCAGCCGCGCCUACCA
Molecule: transfer RNA, 77 nt
Filed under: Terriglobia bacterium
Lineage: Bacteria; Pseudomonadati; Acidobacteriota; Terriglobia
Description: tRNA-Arg
Rfam family: tRNA
About the family: Transfer RNA (tRNA) molecules are approximately 80 nucleotides in length.
Source: RNAcentral